GGGACCCGUCUUGAAACACGGACCAAGGAGUCUAGCAUGUGCGCGAGUCAUUGGGACUCUGAUGAAACCUAAAGGCGCAAUGAAAGUGAAGGUUCGCCUAGCGCGAACCGAGGGAGGAUGGGCGGUCCACGGUGGCCGCCCCGCACUCCCGGGGCGUCUCGCUCUCAUCGCGAGAAGAGGCGCACCCAGAGCGUACACGCUGGGACCCGAAAGAUGGUGAACUAUGCCUGGUCAGGACGAAGUCAGGGGAAACCCUGAUGGAGGUCCGUAGCGAUUCUGACGUGCAAAUCGAUCGUCGGAACUGGGUAUAGGGGCGAAAGACUAAUCGAACCAUCUAGUAGCUGGUUCCCUCCGAAGUUUCCCUCAGGAUAGCUGGCGCUCGCUUCUUGCGAGUCUCAUUCGGUAAAGCGAAUGAUUAGAGGCAUUGGGGUCGAAACGGCCUCAACCUAUUCUCAAACUUUAAAUGGGUGAGAUCUCCGGCUUGCUUGAACAGUGAAGCCGCGAGAUAUCGGAUCAGAGUGCCAAGUGGGCCACUUUUGGUAAGCAGAACUGGCGCUGUGGGAUGAACCAAACGCCGAGUUAAAGCGCCUAAAUCGACGCUUAUGGGAUACCAUGAAAGGCGUUGGUAACUUAAGACAGCAGGACGGUGGCCAUGGAAGUCGGAA
RNAcentral lists this ribosomal RNA (665 nucleotides) under Schizonycha fuscescens. RNAcentral describes it as "eukaryotic LSU rRNA". It matches the Rfam family "Eukaryotic large subunit ribosomal RNA", at positions 644 to 1266 of the family's 3401-position model. Lineage: Eukaryota; Metazoa; Arthropoda; Insecta; Coleoptera; Scarabaeidae. The record is from RNAcentral.